GAGAAGAAGAGAAAAUCUGAAGCAAACUCCAUGCUGAGCACAGAGCCCAAUGCUGGGCUCAAUCUCACAACCUUGGGAUCAUGACUUCAAGCGAAAAUGAGAGUUGGACACUGGACCACCCAGAUAAAUUGGUAACCAGUCUGCUGAAACCAUGGAAGCUAUUGUUGUUAAUGCUACCAAUCUAAAUACUGCACUAUUGCUUCUACUACAAGCUCAUCACAGCAAACUGAA
RNAcentral lists this long non-coding RNA (231 nucleotides) under Mustela putorius furo (domestic ferret). Its description in RNAcentral is "lncRNA (ENSMPUG00000024641.1)". Lineage: Eukaryota; Metazoa; Chordata; Mammalia; Carnivora; Mustelidae. The record is from RNAcentral.